RNAcentral lists this ribosomal RNA (839 nucleotides) under uncultured eukaryote. RNAcentral's name for it is "SSU rRNA". It matches the Rfam family "Eukaryotic small subunit ribosomal RNA", at positions 635 to 1426 of the family's 1831-position model. The record is from RNAcentral.
CGGUGUUCAACUGGCGUGCCCGCGGGACGUCCUGCCGGUGAGCUCAGCCCGCGAGGGCGGCUCAACUUGAAAUCCCAUCGCGGUGCUCUUCAUUGAGUGUCGAGGUGGGCCGGCACGAUUACUUUUGAACAAAUUAGAGUGCUUAAAGCAGGCUAAAAUUUUGCCUGAAUACUGUGUAUAUGGAAUAAUGGAAUAGGACCUCGGUUCUAUUUUGUUGGUUUUCGGAACCCCGAGGUAAUGAUUAAUAGGAACGGAUGGGGGCAUUCGUAUUGCGACGUUAGAGGUGAAAUUCUUGGAUCGUCGCAAGACGGACUAAAGCGAAAGCAUUUGCCAAAAACGCUUUCAUUGAUCAAGAACGAAAGUUAGAGGUUCGAAGGCGAUCAGAUACCGCCCUAGUUCUAACCAUAAACUAUGCCAGCUAGCGAUCCGCCGACGUCCCUCUGAUGACUCGGCGGGCAGCUUCCGGGAAACCAAAGCUUUUGGGUUCCGGGGGAAGUAUGGUUGCAAAGCUGAAACUUAAAGGAAUUGACGGAAGGGCACCACCAGGAGUGGAGCCUGCGGCUUAAUUUGACUCAACACGGGAAACCUCACCAGGCCCAGACACUGGAAGGAUUGACAGAUUGAGAGCUCUUUCUUGAUUCAGUGGGGUGGUGGUGCAUGGCCGUUCUUAGUCGGUGGAGCGAUUUGUCAGGUUAAUUCCGAUAACGGACGAGACUCUGACCUGAUAACUAGACGCACUUGCGGCAUCUCAAAGGUCCGCCGGCGGCUGGCUUUGCGCCCGUCGUCGCGCGCGAUUUUUACUGCCGGCGUACAAUAAAUUCUUCUAGAGGGACAAGUGG